Molecule: long non-coding RNA, 2427 nt
Organism: Cervus elaphus (red deer)
Lineage: Eukaryota; Metazoa; Chordata; Mammalia; Artiodactyla; Cervidae
Exons: 5
Source: RefSeq, a predicted model, not a curated record
CACCACCUCCUGAAUCUUCUACAGCUAGUAAAAAGGAGAAAAGCAAUAUUAUUGGGAGUCAGUGGAUAUAUAGUAGUUUUUUCCUAAUAUUAGAAUAACUAUGUAGCCUAAUUCAUAGUUUUAACCUAUAUCAAGUACUAAGAGUUUGACCAUUUUAAAACUUGACUUCAUAUUCAGAAUUAGUCCAUUUAGAAAAUUAAAUCUAAUAAAUGACUAACCAGUUAAUGUCUCAGUUCUCAAAAGAACCACUGAACUAUCCAGUCUGGGAAUCUGAGUUGUUGCUUUGUGUUGCCUGGAGAUAAAGUAAUAUUCUUAGUUUACAGAGACUUCUCAGUGUAGUAGGAAGAAAAUUCAGAAGUAAUUUUUUAUGCAAAUAAAGUAUAGAGAUGCAUAUCCAAUAUACCAAAUACUAAAUCUAAAAAAAAGUCAGGAAUGAUAUACUGCUCAUUGUAAAAUUGGGAUAAAGAUUAACUGUACUGAGAAAUAACUUUUUGCUUUUCACUUGCUCAGUAAAAAUAACCAUUUUUGUUAUCUUUUUGAAGCUCAGCUCAGAUCUUACUGCUUUCAUGUUGAAAUCCAUCCCUCUAAGGACUUCCUGUUGCUGUCUAGAGGACAGAUCCAUAAGGAGGCCUUCAGGGUAACACACCCAUCUGGCAGAGCUGCCUGCAUUCCUGGCUUCAUCUGGUAUUUUACUCUGUUUGCUCUCUAGACUCCAGCUACACCAGUUUUCAAGUUCUUCAAGUGCACCAAGCUUAUUUCCACUUUACGGCCUUUGUGCAUAUUCUAUUCUUUCCUCUCCUUUCCUUUAAAACUCUUCCUCCUUUCUUUGCUUAGAAAAAGCCUGUCUUCAGUGUAGCAUAAACAUCCUUCAGGAACGACUUCCCUGAUGCCCCAGGUAUGCUGCUUCUGAUAAUUAUAGUUAAAUAAUCGAUUUUUCACUUGGUGCUCCCCUACCAGGUGGUAAGCUCUAUGAGAUAAGGACCCCAUCUUUCCCCAGGGCCUGCCUAACACAGGGCCUUGUACAGAAUACACAGCCACUAAACAUUUAAGUGAAUGUAUAUCCCAGAGUCAGGAACUCCUGUUUUUAUUCUGUUGAAGGAUAUCCUUAACCCUUUAAGCAAAAUGCUUUCUCCCUCUGAAUUCUUUAAAAUAUCACUAAACGCACGAACCAUCUAAAAAGAAUGUUGCUUUUUUUUCUUUUAACAAGGCCUUUCCAGACAGAGAUGGUUUAUUAAACAAUAAGAAUUUCUUAGAAAACCUUUUAAGUCUGGAGCUCUUGAGACAAAAUACGAAAUGAUGACAUUAAUAUUCCACUUUCAAGAUGACAUUUGAGUCAUCUGAUGAACUAAUAGGUGAUGUAAGCAUCUUAACAGAGGCUUUCUGAAGAUUAUGUUAAACCUAACUGAGUGACUUCAGGAGUAGAAAUUUCAUCAGGAUAAACAGCACUACAGAGAAACAUCUGAGGCACAGAGUCUUAGGGUACCUUCAAGUCACCCCACUCUGCUGGCCAGCUUUACUUCUAGGGCUUCCUUAGAUCUGGAAAUGAGGCUGGAGAUCUGUAAAGCUUUCUCAUUAUAAGGAGAGGGACAUUAAGCUCAGAGAGGCUAAGCAAGAUGCCCAAAGUCUUACAGCUAAUACAGAAUGUUAGGACUAAAAUUAUUUUCUCACCUAAACCUGAUUGAUCAAACUAAUCCUAUGGUUUUCAUAUUAUUUCUUAAAAUUCAGUAUUCUGCAGAGGUACCUCAGGAGCCACUUUAUUGAGUGGAUGAAGAAACCUAGUCCUAACCCCAACUUCAACUGGACCAAGCAAUUCCACUGGGAAUUAUAAAGCUUGCUUAACAUAAGCCUUCUCAACUUCUGGAAAACCCAAAUCAAAGAGAAGAGAGAUGACAAAGGGAACACUGUCAUCUGGAAGUAAGACUGUGGUUCCAAGGCCUCUGACCUUCAGAAGCAGACCUAUGACCACUGUGGCAACACCGCCAGGCAGAAGAGGAAAUGUGACUGGAGUUGCCAAGGCUACAGAUGGAACACCACCUAGGCCAGGGAAUUGUGCUGGAAACGUGAUAUAGAGACAGGCACACAGAACAAGAGAGGAGGCCUCCAUCCCAGCCAGCCCCACUCCAACUGGGCCCCCACCUGUUCAGCAGGGCUCACCUGCCCAUAGAGUUUAACGUUGCUCUCUACCAUUAACAGGCCAUUUUUGUUCUCUUAUUGCUAUGAAAAUGGCACUACACGUCUAAAUUUGGUGUAGCACACCAAAAUAGAAACGGCUCCAAUUCAUCCUGAUGAGGACUCUCAGGGAGCACGUUCAGGAGGGAGGCACGCAGGUUUUCACCAAUUGCUGCGCUCCAUACCUACCAUCAGCAAAGUGAACAUGGUCUGCCCCACAUUAAACCCAUGUCUCCAGUUGUGGUACGUGACGGCCCG